Molecule: unclassified non-coding RNA, 344 nt
Filed under: soil metagenome
Description: partial contains 5.8S ribosomal RNA, internal transcribed spacer 2, and large subunit ribosomal RNA
Rfam family: 5.8S ribosomal RNA (bases 2-119)
Source: RNAcentral
GUGAAGAACGCAGCGAAAUGCGAUACGUAAUGUGAAUUGCAGAAUUCAGUGAAUCAUCGAGUCUUUGAACGCACAUUGCGCCCCCUGGUAUUCCGGGGGGCAUGCCUGUCCGAGCGUCAUUGCUGCCCUCAAGCACGGCUUGUGUGUUGGGUCUCCGUCCUCCUCCCGGGGGACGGGCCCGAAAGGCAGCGGCGGCACCGCGUCCGGUCCUCGAGCGUAUGGGGCUUCGUCACCCGCUCUUGUAGGCCCGGCCGGCGCUUGCCGACACAUCAAUCUUUUUUCCAGGUUGACCUCGGAUCAGGUAGGGAUACCCGCUGAACUUAAGCAUAUCAAUAAGCGGAGGA